Molecule: ribosomal RNA, 406 nt
Filed under: uncultured bacterium
Lineage: Bacteria
Description: partial 16S ribosomal RNA
Rfam family: Bacterial small subunit ribosomal RNA
Source: RNAcentral
AUUGAACGCUGGCGGCAGGCUUAACACAUGCAAGUCGGGCGAGCGGCGGACGGGAGAGUAAUGUCUGGGGAUUUCCCUGAUGGAGGGGGUUAACUUCUGGAAACGGUAGCUAAUCCCGCAUACCAUCAGAUGAACCCAUAUGGGAUUAGCUUGUAGGUAAGGUAAUGGCGUACCUAGGCGACGAUCCCUAGCUGGUCUGAGAGGAUGUUCAGGCAGACUGGGACUGAGGCACGGCCCAGACUCCUACGGGAGGCAGCGGUGGGAGAUGUUGCAGAAUGGGCGCAAGCCUGAUGCAGCCAUGGCGCGUGUGUGAAGAAGGCCAUCGAGGUGUAAAGUACUUACAGUGAGGAGGCGUUACCGGCAGAAGAAGCACCGGCUAACUCCGUGCCAGCAGCCGCGGUAAUAC